CUAAUAACUCUUCUCACUGUCAAACCUAUAUGCAAAAAUAACUUAUAAACUAUUGAUCAUUUUUUAACAUAUGUUCAUCAUCCUAUUGUUUGGUUUGCAAGAUAUUGUUGUUGAGAAUGGAUCAUUUUCUUUUAUACUUUUUGUGUUGAUUCUCCAAGAAAUUGUAUUUUGAUUCUUUUCAAUGCAAUUGGGAUUCUGGGUCAUGAUCAUUUUUUAGGAUAUUGUUCAUGAUCAUAUUCUUUAAUUUGCAAGAUAUUGUUGUUGAGAUGAAUCAUGUUUUUAACUUUUUGUGUUGAUUUUCCAAAAAAAGAUUGGAUUUUGAUUCUUUGCAAUGCAAUUGAGUUUCUGGAUCAUUGAUAAUUUUUUCUAUGGUUGUUGAUUGCAGUUCAUGAGCAUGAGGAGAGAGAGUGGAAGGCUUACCAUUGGAGACUUAUCUUCCAAGAUGUCAAGGUUGAAAGUUGUGGGAGAAAAUCUGAGUGAAGAAGAGAGAGAUUCUUAUAUCCAUGAUUUGUAUCAAAACACAGAUGAAGAUGUUGAUUUCGAAUGGUUUCUCAAGGUCUUGAACAGUACGGUUAUGUUUGGUAAAUCUGCUCUUCAACCAAAAAGGUUGCUGAUGUGGAUGCUUAAUGACCGUUAAGAUCCCUUGAUUAUGAUAAUCUGACAGUUGUGAUUUAAAAUGUAUUAGUUUAGUAGCAAUUAUGUUGUAAUGACUUUCUGUCACUCUAGUUUAAUAUUUUGUUAUUGAGGAUGUUCUAAUCUUGUUACAAUGUCAUUUUAGUGGAAACAAUAUUAUUAACUAUUGUCUUCUUUUGAAAGUUUGCUCUUGAAUGAAUGA
Long non-coding RNA from Cicer arietinum (chickpea), 835 nucleotides. RefSeq lists it as uncharacterized. The record is from RefSeq and is a predicted model, not a curated record. NCBI's taxonomy places the organism in Eukaryota, Viridiplantae, Streptophyta, Magnoliopsida, Fabales, Fabaceae.